RNAcentral lists this ribosomal RNA (483 nucleotides) under Triticum aestivum (bread wheat). RNAcentral describes it as "partial small subunit ribosomal RNA". The record is from RNAcentral. Lineage: Eukaryota; Viridiplantae; Streptophyta; Magnoliopsida; Poales; Poaceae.
AUGCGCCUUGAUACUGAAGCCAUUGCUGGACUGCCAUGCUUAGAAGAAGCACUUGACUGCUUUCGUGAUGCAGGUCUGCUCAGCUUUGUGACAGACAAAGAACAUUGGAAUGAAGAACUAUUGCUUCAAUUCUAUGCUACACUCCACAUUCGCGGCUACAACAGGGAUACAAAGACAUGGGUUCUUGAGUGGAUGACAGGAAAUGUUCAUCAUGAAGCCAAAGCUCUUGACAUCAUUGAGCUUACAUGGUUAUCCACUCCCGGAGAGCUGUACGAACCUGGUUGUCAACACCACCGCAAUGUACUGGAGAGCAUCUUUCAUAAGCCAGAACCCAACAUGAGCCAGAUGUUGAGCAUGAUGAAGCCUUUGCCACAUGACGCUGAAUACCCAAAGGAGUUCUUUGUUGAUGACCUUGAGUAUCUGCCGCGCACCAUAUAUCACAUCACCAGGCGGACUCUAUGGCCUAUCAAAGGACAUUCAUAA